AUGGACGUGGAGCGCGCCACCGGCACGGCGGUGUUUUGGACGCCGCACUCAUUUUACGACCCGAGGCGGCCGGAGCCCGUGGCCGUGGGUGCGCCAGCACCCAAUCCUUUCGAGUGGCCGCCGCGGCGGCGGAGGCCGGCCCGGCGGGUGCCGUUCAGUUGGCGGACGUACGAUCCCGAUCCGCCGGUCGUCGUCCCUGGAGCGGCGCCGCCGUACAGGAACGGCGGCUUCGGCGCCGUCCCGGCGUCGGAGAAGGCCAUCGCUGGCCUGCCCAGGACCACGGCCGGCGAGGCGAGGGAGAAGGGCUGCUCCGUGUGCAUGGAGGCCUUCGAGGAGGAGGACAUACUGAGGAGGCUGCACUGCUCCCACGCGUUCCACGAGGAGUGCAUCUCCGUGUGGCUCGGCGUCAGCCACCUAUGCCCGCUCUGCCGCUUCGCGCUGCGUACACAGGGCCAGGAGGACGAGGAGGAGCGUACGGGCCGCCAGUAG
RNAcentral lists this ribosomal RNA (489 nucleotides) under Triticum aestivum (bread wheat). RNAcentral's name for it is "partial small subunit ribosomal RNA". Lineage: Eukaryota; Viridiplantae; Streptophyta; Magnoliopsida; Poales; Poaceae. The record is from RNAcentral.